CGGGAUAGGUCAGUUGGUAGAGCAGAGGACUGAAAAUCCUCGUGUCC
Molecule: transfer RNA, 47 nt
Filed under: Erianthemum dregei
Lineage: Eukaryota; Viridiplantae; Streptophyta; Magnoliopsida; Santalales; Loranthaceae
Description: partial tRNA-Phe
Source: RNAcentral